Molecule: ribosomal RNA, 500 nt
Filed under: uncultured bacterium
Lineage: Bacteria
Description: partial 16S ribosomal RNA
Rfam family: Bacterial small subunit ribosomal RNA
Source: RNAcentral
AUUGAACGCUGGCGGCAUGCCUUACACAUGCAAGUCGAACGGUAACGGGUCCUUCGGGAUGCCGACGAGUGGCGAACGGGUGAGUAAUAUAUCGGAACGUGCCCAGUAGUGGGGGAUAACUGCUCGAAAGAGCAGCUAAUACCGCAUACGACCUGAGGGUGAAAGGGGGGGAUCGCAAGACCUCUCGCUAUUGGAGCGGCCGAUAUCAGAUUAGCUAGUUGGUGGGGUAAAGGCCUACCAAGGCAACGAUCUGUAGUUGGUCUGAGAGGACGACCAGCCACACUGGGACUGGGACACGGCCCAGACUCCUACGGGAGGCAGCAGUGGGGAAUUUUGGACAACGGGCGCAAGCCUGAUCCAGCAAUGCCGCGUGCAGGAAGAAGGCCUUCGGGUUGUAAACUGCUUUUGUCAGGGAAGAAAUCUUCUGGGCUAAUACCCCGGGAGGAUGACGGUACCUGAAGAAUAAGCACCGGCUAACUACGUGCCAGCAGCCGCGGUAA